AGCGAACGCUGGCGGCAGGCCUAACACAUGCAAGUCGAACGAACUCUUCGGAGUUAGUGGCGGACGGGUGAGUAACACGUGGGAACGUUCCUUUAGGUUCGGAAUAACUCUGUUAAACUUGUGCUAAUACCGAAUGUGCCCUUCGGGGGAAAGAUUUAUCGCCUUUAGAGCGGCCCGCGUCUGAUUAGCUAGUUGGUGUGGUAAAGGCCCACCAAGGCGACGAUAAGUAGCUGGUCUGAGAGGAUGAUCAGCCACAUUGGGACUGAGACACGGCCCAAACUCCUACGGGAGGCAGCAGUGGGGAAUCUUGCGCAAUGGGCGAAAGCCUGACGCAGCCAUGCCGCGUGAAUGAUGAAGGUCUUAGGAUUGUAAAAUUCUUUCACCGGGGACGAUAAUGACGGUACCCGGAGAAGAAGCCCCGGCUAACUUCGUG
Molecule: ribosomal RNA, 433 nt
Filed under: uncultured bacterium
Lineage: Bacteria
Description: partial 16S ribosomal RNA
Rfam family: Bacterial small subunit ribosomal RNA
Source: RNAcentral